CCUACGGGGUGCACCAGUGGGGAAUAUUGCACAAUGGGCGCAAGCCCGAUGCAGCCAUGCCGCGUGUAUGAAGAAGGCCUUCGGGUUGUAAAGUACUUUCAGCGGGGAGGAAGGUGUUGUGGCUAAUAACCACAGCAAUUGACGUUACCCGCAGAAGAAGCACCGGCUAACUCCGUGCCAGCAGCCGCAGUAAUACGGAGGGUGCAAGCGUUAAUCGGAAUUACUGGGCGUAAAGCGCACGCGGGCGGUCUGUCAAGUCGGAUGUGAAAUCCCCGGGCUCAACCUGGGAACUGCAUUCGAAACUGGCAGGCUAGAGUCUUGUAGAGGGGGGUAGAAUUCCAGGUGUAGCGGUGAAAUGCGUAGAGAUCUGGAGGAAUACCGGUGGCGAAGGCGGCCUCCUGGACAAAGACUGACGCUCAGGUGCGAAAGCGUGGGGAGCAAACAGGAUUAGAUACCCUCGUAGUC
This 465-nucleotide ribosomal RNA is filed under the name uncultured bacterium. Its description in RNAcentral is "bacterial SSU rRNA". It matches the Rfam family "Bacterial small subunit ribosomal RNA", at positions 338 to 795 of the family's 1533-position model. The record is from RNAcentral.